UCGAUUUGGAGUUUGUUGCCCUGAGUGAUGGGCUCCGAAGCUAACGCGAUAAAUCGACCGCCUGGGGAGUACGGCCGCAAGGUUAAAACUCAAAUGAAUUGACGGGGGCCCGCACAAGCGGUGGAGCAUGUGGUUUAAUUCGAUGCAACGCGAAGAACCUUACCUGGUCUUGACAUCCACAGAAUCUUGCAGAGAUGCGAGAGUGCCUUCGGGAACUGUGAGACAGGUGCUGCAUGGCUGUCGUCAGCUCGUGUUGUGAAAUGUUGGGUUAAGUCCCGCAACGAGCGCAACCCUUAUCCUUUGUUGCCAUCGNUUAGGCCGGGAACUCAAAGGAGACUGCCGUUGAUAAAGCGGAGGAAGGUGGGGACGACGUCAAGUCAUCAUGGCCCUUACGACCAGGGCUACACACGUGCUACAAUGGCGUAUACAAAGGGAUGCGACCUCGCGAGAGCAAGCGGACCUCAUAAAGUACGUCUAAGUCCGGAUUGGAGUCUGCAACUCGACUCCAUGAAGUCGGAGUCGCUAGUAAUCGUGAAUCAGAAUGUCACGGUGAAUACGUUCCCGGGCCU
Molecule: ribosomal RNA, 569 nt
Filed under: uncultured Gammaproteobacteria bacterium
Lineage: Bacteria; Pseudomonadati; Pseudomonadota; Gammaproteobacteria
Description: bacterial SSU rRNA
Rfam family: Bacterial small subunit ribosomal RNA
Source: RNAcentral